This is a non-coding RNA of Myotis lucifugus (little brown bat), 76 nucleotides long. The record is from Rfam. NCBI's taxonomy places the organism in Eukaryota, Metazoa, Chordata, Mammalia, Chiroptera, Vespertilionidae.
GGCAGUUCUCGGGUGACACACCCCAGAAUCAGACUCCCUCCUCUCUGGUUCUGGGGUGUGUCACCCAAGAACUGCU